RNAcentral lists this ribosomal RNA (549 nucleotides) under uncultured bacterium. Its description in RNAcentral is "bacterial SSU rRNA". It matches the Rfam family "Bacterial small subunit ribosomal RNA", at positions 356 to 896 of the family's 1533-position model. The record is from RNAcentral.
AGGGAAUCUUCCGCAAUGGGCGAAAGCCUGACGGAGCAACGCCGCGUGAGUGAUGAAGGUCUUCGGAUCGUAAAACUCUGUUAUUAGGGAAGAACAUAUGUGUAAGUAACUGUGCACAUCUUGACGGUACCUAAUCAGAAAGCCACGGCUAACUACGUGCCAGCAGCCGCGGUAAUACGUAGGUGGCAAGCGUUAUCCGGAAUUAUUGGGCGUAAAGCGCGCGUAGGCGGUUUUUUAAGUCUGAUGUGAAAGCCCACGGCUCAACCGUGGAGGGUCAUUGGAAACUGGAAAACUUGAGUGCAGAAGAGGAAAGUGGAAUUCCAUGUGUAGCGGUGAAAUGCGCAGAGAUAUGGAGGAACACCAGUGGCGAAGGCGACUUUCUGGUCUGUAACUGACGCUGAUGUGCGAAAGCGUGGGGAUCAAACAGGAUUAGAUACCCUGGUAGUCCACGCCGUAAACGAUGAGCGCUAAGUGUUAGGGGGUUUCCGCCCCUUAGUGCUGCAGCUAACGCAUUAAGCACUCCGCCUGGGGAGUACGACCGCAAGGUUG